RNAcentral lists this ribozyme (66 nucleotides) under Aedes aegypti (yellow fever mosquito). RNAcentral's name for it is "drz-agam-1 ribozyme". It matches the Rfam family "drz-agam-1 ribozyme". Lineage: Eukaryota; Metazoa; Arthropoda; Insecta; Diptera; Culicidae. The record is from Rfam by way of RNAcentral.
UGCCCAGCAACUCCUAUCCCCACCUCCUCGCGGUACUGGCCGGGGUACGAGUAACCUUAGGGAAGA